CUCGCGCCACGGAAGCCUUUGCAGCUGGAAACAGUUGGUCUGGACGACUCUAAAGAAAUCAGCCUUUAUGCAAGUCAGCGUCUCUGCUGGCGACACUUUCGAACUGACGGGGACACCCUAAAGCUCUCCACACCAAGCCAGCCAGGGAAACCUACUGGUGGCCCAUGGGAAACUAUGGGGUAUGGUAACAGAGGGAGAGAUGAUCUGAGGCACACGCCUUAGUGAAGUGGGCAAUCCGCAGCGAAGCUCCUAACGUCCUCGGGCCUGGCCCGAACCACGGAGAACGUUCACAGACUAAGUGGAAGUGGGUGGAGAGUAAUCUCCGCUUAAGAUAUAGUCGGGCCCCUUGGGAAACCUUGGGGGUAGCGAGUCUCGAGUCUCUCGAGCUUGGAACAAACCGUUCCGUAGGUGAACCUGCGGAAGGAUCAUUACCGUUGGAGUUCGCUCCAAUCUGGGAUAGAACCCUUGCCUUUGAGUACCUUUUCGUUUCCUCGGUGGGCUCGCCCGCCGGUGGACAACCAUAAACUCUUUGUAAUAGCAGUAUCUUCUGAGAAAAACAAAUAGUCAAAACUUUCAACAACGGAUCUCUUGGUUCUGGCAUCGAUGAAGAACGCAGC
RNAcentral lists this unclassified non-coding RNA (617 nucleotides) under Nigrograna mackinnonii. RNAcentral describes it as "sequence contains ITS1". The stretch from base 17 to 361 matches the Rfam family "Group I catalytic intron". Rfam says of the family: Group I catalytic introns are large self-splicing ribozymes. The record is from RNAcentral. Lineage: Eukaryota; Fungi; Ascomycota; Dothideomycetes; Pleosporales; Nigrogranaceae.